Molecule: long non-coding RNA, 479 nt
Filed under: Panax ginseng (ginseng)
Lineage: Eukaryota; Viridiplantae; Streptophyta; Magnoliopsida; Apiales; Araliaceae
Description: long non-coding RNA (PGIN_LNC007672)
Source: RNAcentral
AUGAUAUGUCAAGAGAAGACUCAUAAUUGGAAAGAAUAUGGUAGUAAUCUUCUCGUUUUUCUUUGGGGUCUAUUGGGUCAACCAAGGAUAAUUCUGUGGCCCUAUGAUAUCUAUCAUAACCUAGACGCAUGCCCUCCCAUGUACGAAGGUUUUCUUGAGCACUUCCCAAAGAUUUUAAUUUCUAAAACAGUUUUUGACUAUACCUUUAUGUAAGAUGUCAUGGUGACGUGCUACCCAAGUUGGUGUCAAGAGUCACAGUUGAUAUAUAUAUUUGUAUCAAAACUCACAACACAUGAGUUGUUGUAUUUUGCACGACAAUUGUUGUAAUAAAGUUGUAGUUGUUUUCUGUACCAUGUAUUUGGCGACUCGGAAUGGGUUGGAUGGAAUGGACCUAUUUUGGGAUUGUCACAUAAGGGGUAUUAUUUCUUUUGGUAUUCAUGAGGAGAACUUCUGUUAUUCCAUUAUUUAUUAUUCUGUUG